AUGAGAACAGGCGCGCGAUUGGCUUCGUCGCUGCCCCACCGCACUGGUUGUUUCUUUCGUCCAGAAGAAAGAGAGAGGAAGGAGGUCGCCAGAUACGCCCGCCCCGCUCCAACCCUCUUCUCCUCCUCACGUACGACACCUCCUUUCUCCUCCCUCUCCCCUUCUCUCUCAGACCCACUGGCGGCGGAGACUGGAGGCAGAACACUGCACGCGCCGGCCGGCGAGGAGGAGCUGCGCUGUCGCCGGCGCACCAACUGCGUCUACUGCCUCGCCUCCCCGUUGACCUACAAGAAGGUAUAUUCCCACAUUGAACUGAAUUAUUGCUAUAUUCGGUUGAUUCAGACAUAUUGUAUCUUCAAUGGCUUUCACUGCUGGGCAAAAUCAAGCGAUGGAAGAUCCAUGGUACAUUGUGGUGUUAUCUGCUACUGA
This 429-nucleotide ribosomal RNA is filed under the name Triticum aestivum (bread wheat). RNAcentral describes it as "partial small subunit ribosomal RNA". The record is from RNAcentral. Lineage: Eukaryota; Viridiplantae; Streptophyta; Magnoliopsida; Poales; Poaceae.